AGGCCAUAGGAAAGAGGAAAACUCUCGUCUUUUUCUCAAAUUUUCCCAAAAACGCAUCGUCGUAUCAACUACUGUUCCCUUUUCACUUUUUAGUUUUACGAAAGGGAAAGAAAACGAAAAGACUCGAGCAGGAUAUUUGUUGACUUUAUCCGAAGACAAGAGAAGCGAAGCGACGCUGUCGACGACGGAUUCAGUCGGGUCCAUCCAUCCGAUCGGAGCUCCGACUUCUCCAUCGCCGGCGGCCGCUGCUGCUGCUGCUGCUGCUCCGUCGAAGGCAGCGAGAAAGAUGCCUGAGAACCCUUCUCCAGCAGCUCCGGCAGCCGAUCCCUCCGCCGCCCCCUUCAAGCGCUACGCUCCUCCGAAUCAGAGGAAUCGCUCCCUCAACCGGCGCAAAUCCGGAGAGCAACUUGAUCGACCAAACAAUUUUUGUGUAAGUGAUGGAGAGAAGAAUCACACGGCUGCUUUAAGGAACACCAUCAAUGAUCAGAGGGAUGCAGUGGGUGGCAACCUUCCCAAGGAAAACCGUCGUUCGCCAUUGAUUCCCUUAGAAGGGUGCUCUACCAGCGAAGCUUCUCGGGUUCUAAAUAAACGCUGGGAAGAUACAAUUCACAAAUGCAAUGAUUUAUCUAUAGAUUCAUCUGUCAAACAGCGUUGCAGCUCUGUGAGGAUGUCCUGCUUGUAAGGUUAUCGUCCUCGACUAACCUGGUUUUCCGUUUUGUGUUCUGUGGUUUCAGAAAGACCUGUUAUGUACUCUGGAAGCACCAAACUUCCUCAUCAGUUAAUAGCCCCAUCAGGUGUUGGAUCUCCUGGUUCCCAGAUGGACUUCUUGGGUGAACUUCGCCAGGCAAUGCGCAAUGCAAAUGCAGGUCCCUAGGCGUAGCGAUUUUGCAUCCGUACUAAAGAUGAAGUUAUUGGUUUUGGAUGUGGACGUAAUCGAUUACAGCCUUCACUUCCAAGAGACUGGCGAAUUGUGGCAAACACUGUGUACACCAGUUGGCUAACCGCCAUUUGUAAAACAAAACUAGGAUGCGUUGCUUGAACACACGUGCAUAUGAAUAUGGUUUCCACUACCACUAUUGUCUUCCCUGAUAGCAUUAGUGCUAACCGUUUUGAGUAGCUCAUUGUGGCCGCCUCAUGCUCGUACAACUAACUGCCUUUGUGCAAGUGGUAUGCAUGCGCGCGCAGAGAGUAGAAGUAGGUCCUUGUGUCUGUUGUUGUGUGUGCGCAAUCAUUUUGAAUUGAGUUUCUUUUACAUGGUGAUUGGAAACUGUUUUAAGAUAUCUUUUGUCCAAUAUAAGAGCUGCUUUUCACUUGUC
This is an RNA transcript of Eucalyptus grandis, 1316 nucleotides long. RefSeq lists it as uncharacterized. NCBI's taxonomy places the organism in Eukaryota, Viridiplantae, Streptophyta, Magnoliopsida, Myrtales, Myrtaceae. The transcript is spliced from 6 exons. The record is from RefSeq and is a predicted model, not a curated record.